CAAUUUUAAAUAUAUCUGAAUUUUAACGUAAAAUUUGCUGCAUAGCAAGUAUUCUCACUGAAUUAUGGCCCAAACUGUAUAAGUAUAGUCUUAAUUCAUGGUUUUUUGAUAUGUGCUUCUCACUAUUUUCUGGUAAAAUAUUGUUGCCAUUUAUAUUGAUGUUUUUAAAGGUCAAAAGUGUAUUGAUGUAUUCUAGAUCUUUUUGGGCUAAUUUGGCCUUACCAAGGAUAAACAUAAAAUUACGAUCUACAUCUGCCAGAGGCAACAUAUUGUAUGAUGCUUUGAAGUGCAAAAACUAAAACUUACCAAGCAUGG
This 315-nucleotide long non-coding RNA is filed under the name Amborella trichopoda. RNAcentral's name for it is "long non-coding RNA (ATRI_LNC003526)". Lineage: Eukaryota; Viridiplantae; Streptophyta; Magnoliopsida; Amborellales; Amborellaceae. The record is from RNAcentral.